This 46-nucleotide small RNA is filed under the name Acidobacteriia bacterium SbA2. RNAcentral describes it as "Solibacteres bacterium SbA2 Acido-Lenti-1". It matches the Rfam family "Acido-Lenti-1 RNA". The record is from RNAcentral. Lineage: Bacteria; Pseudomonadati; Acidobacteriota; Terriglobia.
CCCACGGCUCACGCCGUGGGCUACUCUCUGUCGGCCCCCCGGGCCU